RNAcentral lists this long non-coding RNA (2099 nucleotides) under Triticum aestivum (bread wheat). RNAcentral describes it as "long non-coding RNA (TAES_LNC000912)". The record is from RNAcentral. Lineage: Eukaryota; Viridiplantae; Streptophyta; Magnoliopsida; Poales; Poaceae.
UAAGUCCUCACACCAUCAACUAUGACAAAAUCUGAGAGUAUAAGUCUGGUUACAUUCACCCAAGUCCAAACAUAAAAUUAUAUCCAACAUAGUACAGCCCACUUUGAUAAUUUCAUAGUACAUCUCACUAAAUAUGUAGUGCAUCACAGAACUACUACCCCAUAUCAUCACAAAGACAUAAUAAACUCAAUGAGCCAAUUGUAGUUUGCUAGCACUAAGAUGAUAUUGCCAUAAGCAGUACAUCACAGGGUACCCUCCUGUAUCACCCGCCAAUGAAUCAAUUUUGUUUGGCACCACUAAGACGGCAUACUUGCUGCUGUGGUCGCCAAUUUAGAACAUAGCCACAUACACACCUAAGCAAGAAAAUGCAAGACCUAUUAGAUGGAUGAGGCCCCCAGACCAACAAACCGAAAUAAAGCACACAUGGAAAGCAAAAAAAAUUAAAAAAAUGGUGGUGGUUUCGGUUUGUGUGCUCACCAAUUAAGAACACAACCACAUAAAUAACAAAGAUAAUGCAAAACCUAGAUGGACGAGAUCCUGGACCAGCAAAUCCAUAAUAAAGCACUCAUGAACGUUUUCGAAGUGAGAUUGCAACCUAGCAGAAAGCAGUACACAGCGAUCAUGAAUGAGUCUGCUUUACCACAUGAAUUUCAACAUUUCACUGAAUCAUCACAAAACUACCCCAUAGCACCAUCAAGACAUGAAAUCUAUGGAUCAAUUGUUGUUUGCUACCAGCUAAAACAGCCUAGCUGCUGCCACACACAUACGUAAGCAAGAAAUUUAGUAAUGCACAUUUUAGGACAUAUUUAGUAACAACCCAUAUUUCGGGACAGCAAACUAAACUGAUAGAUGCUCUCAAACCGUACAUCCAAACGACACAAAUAAAUACUCUAAAGAAACCUUGAAACUUUAUCUAAAACUUAUGUAAAGGGGCCAACUCAAAAUUCUGAGCCUAGCUAAAUCAUUUUUCAGAUAUAAGUUUGUUGUCCAGAUUUGACAGUGCAGUUUUUAACGGAACCAAGUUCAGUUUAUAGCUAGAGUCACCCCAGAGACAUUUUAGGAGAACACUAGUAGUAAUUCAGCUUAGUGGUUCGGAAAGAAAAUCCCAGCUUGUAGACAAAAAUUCAAGACAUAUCUUUUGAGAAUACUAGCAGAAUGUGCAGCAUAAAUUCCAAUCAAGGAGAAGAGAAGACAACCUCAGUGAGCGAUUGCGGUAAAGAUGCAGAGAACGAACUAACAAUCAGAGGAACAGUUGUAAACAGAAUGCAAUGCCGAGGAGCUCGUCACAUGAACAUUCGCCUAAGAUAUCCUCUUGAGGUUUUGCACUGAAGACUGCAGGGCUGCACACUUAAUCAGGUUCAGCACCGAAGAUCAAUGGUCCAGCUGGGCUCUGAAAAUGCAAAGAAACAUGAUGGGAAAGUUAGGUCUCUGCUUAAAGAAAAAAAAGCUGCCUAGAGCUACUGCAGCACGAUCUAUUCUGCUUACUACUAAAGUUAUAGAAGUAUCAUGCUUUCAUAACCAACUAGUUACCAUUAAGUUCAAAUACUGUCCACAAAACCACAACAGAAGUAGCACAAAAUCAUUCAAGUACCAUUGUUUAACUAAAACUUGGUGUGAAUAAGAUCCUCUGUCAGUAGUUCAUACCAAUAGUCAAAAACCCAAAACCUGACACCAACUAGUUACCAUAAGGUCAAAUACUGUCCACAAAACCAUAACAGAAGUAGCACAAAAUUAUUCAAGUAUCAUUGUUUAACUAAAACUUGGUGUAAAUAAGGUAAUAAAAGCAAAUUGCUGCAAUUUGGCCAUUUGUUAACAGUUAAGAGAUACCAGCAAUGACCAAGUACCGGUGGAAAUGUGAAAUAGCACAAAAUCCUAUGACUGAUUGGGUGAUGCCAAAAUGAAAAUGAUUGUUGCCCACUGACUUUCCACAUAGACACAGCCCCCGUUAACAAAUCAUGACUCACUCUGAUGACUGAUCUGGACCUGUACUACCAGUACCAGUAGAAGAAUACUCGAGUCGACCAAGAUAAACCUUGUUUGGGUGCCUCCCUGCAGCAGACCAAGUGUUGUUCAGGACCCUAGUAAGUACUAGUGUACAC